AAAAAAAAUGAAGUUGGGAUUUUUAAUCUCGAACUAUCUGAACAAUGUGGUAUUAAUGAAAUUUGAAUUGGGCUUAAAAAUGGUGUUUUCGUAAGAGAAUAUCGGCUCAAACAACUUUAUAAACUCUAUUAUUAUUUGACUGAAUUAUCAAGUAAAAUUAAUCCAAAUGGGAUUAAAAAAAGUUUAAA
Molecule: unclassified non-coding RNA, 188 nt
Filed under: uncultured Mucoromycotina
Lineage: Eukaryota; Fungi
Description: sequence contains ITS1
Source: RNAcentral